This 479-nucleotide ribosomal RNA is filed under the name Escherichia coli. RNAcentral's name for it is "bacterial SSU rRNA". It matches the Rfam family "Bacterial small subunit ribosomal RNA", at positions 1 to 477 of the family's 1533-position model. The record is from RNAcentral. Lineage: Bacteria; Pseudomonadati; Pseudomonadota; Gammaproteobacteria; Enterobacterales; Enterobacteriaceae.
UGGAGGGAGUUUGAUCCUGGCUCAGAUUGAACGCUGGCGGCAGGCCUAACACAUGCAAGUCGAACGGUAACAGGAAGCAGCUUGCUUGCUUUGCUGACGAGUGGCGGACGGGUGAGUAAUGUCUGGGAAACUGCCUGAUGGAGGGGGAUAACUACUGGAAACGGUAGCUAAUACCGCAUAAUGUCGCAAGACUAAAGAGGGGGACCUUCGGGCCUCUUGCCAUCGGAUGUGCCCAGAUGGGAUUAGCUAGUAGGUGGGGUAACGGCUCACCUAGGCGACGAUCCCUAGCUGGUCUGAGAGGAUGACCAGCCACACUGGAACUGAGACACGGUCCAGACUCCUACGGGAGGCAGCAGUGGGGAAUAUUGCACAAUGGGCGCAAGCCUGAUGCAGCCAUGCCGCGUGUAUGAAGAAGGCCUUCGGGUUGUAAAGUACUUUCAGCGGGGAGGAAGGGAGUAAAGUUAAUACCUUUGCUCCAU